RNAcentral lists this ribosomal RNA (421 nucleotides) under uncultured bacterium. RNAcentral describes it as "bacterial SSU rRNA". It matches the Rfam family "Bacterial small subunit ribosomal RNA", at positions 359 to 773 of the family's 1533-position model. The record is from RNAcentral.
GAAUAUUGGACAAUGGGCGAAAGCCUGAUCCAGCGACGCCGCGUGGGUGAAGAAGGCCUUCGGGUUGUAAAGCCCUUUAAGCCGGGACGAAAAAGCUGCACCUAACACGUUCGGCCUUUACGGUACCGGAAGAAUAAGCACCGGCUAACUCUGUGCCCGCAGCCGCGGUAAUACAGAGGGUGCAAGCGUUAAUCGGAUUUACUGGGCGUAAAGCGGGUGUAGGUGGGUCGCUAAGUCGGUUGUGAAAUCCCUGGGCUCAACCUGGGAAUUGCAGUCGAUACUGGCAAGCUCGAGUUCGGUAGAGGGCAGCGGAAUUCCCGGUGUAGCGGUGAAAUGCGUAGAUAUCGGGAGGAACAUCGAUGGCGAAAGCAACUGCCUGGGCCUGAACUGACACUGUGACACGAAAGCGUGGGGAGCAAAC